AUUGAACGCUGGCGGCAUGCCUUACACAUGCAAGUCGAACGGCAGCACGGGUGCUUACACCUGGUGGCGAGUGGCGAACGGGUGAGUAAUACAUCGGAACGUACCUUAUCGUGGGGGAUAACGCAGCGAAAGCUGUGCUAAUACCGCAUACGCCCUGAGGGGGAAAGCGGGGGAUCGCAAGACCUCGCGCGAUUAGAGCGGCCGAUGCCUGAUUAGCUUGUUGGUGGGGUAAAAGCCCACCAAGGCGACGAUCAGUAGCUGGUCUGAGAGGACGAUCAGCCACACUGGGACUGAGACACGGCCCAGACUCCUACGGGAGGCAGCAGUGGGGAAUUUUGGACAAUGGGGGCAACCCUGAUCCAGCAAUGUCGCGUGAGUGAAGAAGGCCUUCGGGUUGUAAGGCUCUUUUGUCAGGGAAGAAACACCGGCUCUAACACAGUCCGGGAAUGACGGUACCUGAAGAAUAAGCACCGGCUAACUACGUGCCAGCAGCCGCGGUAA
This 501-nucleotide ribosomal RNA is filed under the name uncultured bacterium. Its description in RNAcentral is "partial 16S ribosomal RNA". It matches the Rfam family "Bacterial small subunit ribosomal RNA", at positions 30 to 523 of the family's 1533-position model. The record is from RNAcentral.